RNAcentral lists this long non-coding RNA (3628 nucleotides) under Homo sapiens (human). Its description in RNAcentral is "HSALNT0117280". Lineage: Eukaryota; Metazoa; Chordata; Mammalia; Primates; Hominidae. The record is from RNAcentral.
AGCUGCGAUACGAAUUCCUAGUUAGCCACCUUGCUGGUCCAGGAAAGACAGCAGAAACAGAAUAAAGGAAAGCUAGAAAGCAAACAAAACAAAGCAAUGUCAAGCCCGCAGUUGGCUGUUGUGAGCUUCUGUGGUGCCAUUGUGAGCUGCGUGGUGCCGUUGUGAGCUUGUGUGGCGCCGUUGGGAGCUGCGCGGUGCCGUUGGGAGCUGUGCGGCGCUGUUGUGAGCUUGUGUGGUGCUGUUGGGAGCUGCGUGGUGCUGUUGGGAGCUGUGCGGCGCUGUUGGGAGCUGUGCGGCGCUGUUGUGAGCUUGUGUGGUGCUGUUGUGAGCUUGUGUGGUGCUAUUGUGAGCUUGUGUAGUGCUAUUGUGAGAUUGCAUUGCAUUGUUGUGAGCUGCAUGGUGCUGUUGGGAGCUGUGUGGUGCUUUUGUGAAGUGCAUGGUUCUGUUGUGAGCUUCAUGUUGCUGUUGUGAGCUUGUGUGCUGUUGUGAGCUUGUGUGGUGCUGUUGUGAGCUGUGUGGUAUGAGCUUGUGUGGGGCUGUUGUGAGCUUGCAUGGCAUUGUUGUGAGCUGCGUGGUACUGUCGUGAGCUGUGUGGUGCUGUUGUGAGCUUGUGUGGUGCUGUCGUGAGCUGCGUGGUACUGUCGUGAGCUUGUGUGGUGCUGUCGUGAGCUGUGUGGUGCUGUUGUGAGCUUGUGUGGUGCUGUUGUGAGCUUGUGUGGUGUUAUUGUGAGCUUGUGUGGUACUGUCAUGAGCUGUGUGGUGUUGUCAUGAGCUGUGUGGCGCUGUUGUGAGCUGUGUGUUGCUGUUGUGAGCUUGUGUGGUGGUGUGAGCUUGUGUCGUGCUGUUGUGAGCUGUGCGGUGUUGUGAGCAUGUUUGGUGCUGUCACGAGCUAUGUGGUGCUAUUGUGAGCUGUGUGGCGCUGUUGUGAGCUUGUGUGGUGCAGUUGUGAGCUGUGUGGUGCUGUCGUGAGCUGUGUGGUGCUGUCGUGAGCUGUGUGGUGCAGUUGUGAGCUGUGUGGUGUUGUCGUGAGCUGUGUGGUGCAGUCGUGAGCUGUGUGGUGCAGUCGUGAGCUGUGUGGUGCAGUCGUGAGCUGUGUGGUGUUGUCGUGAGCUGUGUGGUGCUGUCGUGAGCUGUGUGGUGUUGUCGUGAGCUGUGUGGUGCUGUCGUGAGCUGUGUGGUGUUGUCGUGAGCUGUGUGGUGCAGUUGUGAGCUGUGUGGUGCUGUCGGGAGCUGUGUGGUGUUGUCGUGAGCUGUGUGGUGCAGUUGUGAGCUAUGUGGCGCUGUCGGGAGCUGUGUGGCGCUGUUGUGAACUGUGUGGUGUUGUGAGCUUGUGUGGUGCUGUUGUGAGCUGCGUGGUGCUGUCGUGAGUUUGUGUGGUGUUGUGACUGCCCAGGGUGACGCAGCGUUGACCGAUGAUGAGGCACCUGAUACAGAUAAGUCCUAACAUAUUCCCUGGUGCAAUUUACCAGAAAGGCUGAAAGGCUGGGCCGCACUGCAGGGUCCCUCACCAAGGGAAAAUCUCCCCAGGGCAUGGAUGGGGUUUCCGGCUGUGUCACGUGGCUCCUGCCACCACUCAGUGAAGCCCUAAGGGUCCUCUGGCUUUAGAGUUUGAUAAUUUGCUCCGAUUGCCUCUAACAGAGGGCCUGUCUCCAUCCACCCCAUCACCACAGGUGGGUCAGUCGCUCCAGGUGGGACAGACAUCGGCUGCACAAGGACCACGGCAAAUCUGCCCCCAGGACGCUUCCAAAGAGGGCAGUGGGGUCACUCAGUGCCCGUGAACGCUCAGGGUCACUCAACGUCUGUGAACGCUCAGGCACCAUGCUGAGUAGCCACCAGGUCAGCAGCCCCGGGUGCGGCCCCCAGACAGGAAGGGUGGGCUCCUGCUUUAGCCUGGCAUUGUCUUUGCUUCUGUUCUUCCUUCUGGUGACUUCCACCUUGGAACCUGGGAGCUGGAACGGUGCACACCCCAGUGUUGUCAGAAACAUCCUCCAAAGCCUCCAUACACUGCUCCCCUUGGAAGGACAGGAAGAGGCUCUAUCUCCGACUCCCUGAGGGAUCUCACCCCUGCUGGGCAGGUAAGUGGCAGACCUGGGACAGAAGACUGUGAAAAGUGGCAGAGAGCAUCUUCUUGCAUAUAACAGAAAAACUGGCACAAAAGAAAAGAACCAUGAGUACGACAGCAUCAAUAUGAUGGGCGUGUAGAGAAGCCUCGAGACACGAGUAGCAGAGUGAGACCGACUGUUCGUAGGAAGGGGCUGGCACAGUGGGUGAAUCCAAUAGCACUUCACAGGUGCGAGAAGACAAUUCCUCCGCUGUGGGGAGAACACACAGCUGUGAAGAAAAUGGCCAAAGAAAUAUGAGCAAAACUUACAAAAGCAGAAAUGCAAAUUACCAAGAAGCAUUUAAAAGCUGCACAAUCUCACAACAGAUCAGGGAACUGCAAUGGAAAACAGUCUGAUUUUUUUCCCAUUAGAUUAGAAGAAAUGAAAACGUUUAAUGUCAAACAUUAGAGGAAAUUGGUGCAUAAAUGGUUUUUUAAAAAGUCAGAAUUCGUCAUCUCAAAAUAAAUUCAUCAAAUUGAUUACAUUAAAAUUGCACUGACUCUGUGAUGCAUCAGUUUCUUUUCUCAGCAUUUACCCUAGGGAAGAAUGGACGAUGAGCAGGGGAUGAUGAGCAGGGAAGCAGCUGAAACAUUGGCAAGGCAGAGACCACGGCAGAGGCCACGUCAGAGACCACAGUGGAGGCCAUGUCAGAGACCAUGGCAGACGUCAUGACAGAGGUCAUGCCAGAGAUCCCCUGGGAGCAGAGGGAGUGCCCACCCGCAGGACGUGGGGGAGCAAGGCUGCAGCUGUGGGGAGCACUUGGGCACAUCACAGCGUGGGCAUGGCAGACGAAGACAUGCAGGCCACACGCAGGAAGGCACAAACGCACCGGUCACAGUGUCAGGGGAGCACUGGGUGGUGUCACAAGGGAUGUGAGCUUUUGUCUGUUGUGUGUCUGUAUGUGUGUUUUAACAGUAAGAUUGGGUUCGGGCAAAAUCUAAGGGAAUAAAAAGCAGGGGAGUGGCUGUGUGUGAAUCUGGAGCACAGGUGGCCAUGCAGUGACAUUAAAAUUAGGUCAAAGGAAAGACUAGAGCCAGGGGCGAAGGCGGGAGCGUGGUAGGAAGUGGGGACGGCCUGGCCAAGGCCCCGCCAGACCACAAAGCUCAGGCCCAGACCGCAGAAGGCCGAUAAGAGCGUUCCGGAAAUCAGCUCUGUCUCGGAAAGAGCCAGGCCCAUGGGCUCCUGGCCGUGGGCAACCAAGGCUGAGUCAAAGCCACGUUCUCAAGAGAAUCCAGUGCAAUUAUGCAGAGACUCAUUUAAAAUGACAAGUACUUUUUAAAAGUCACUCUCUGAAAAUGACAUUCAAACCAAUUAUCAUUAAGGGAAGAUGUAAGUUAGCUUUGUUUAAAAAAAAAAGAAGGUGGAGAAGAAUAAAAAUCUGUUUUUAGAUACUUUGUAUGUUGCAGUUUAGAAAUACUCCUGCUGAAUAAAACCUACAGGAAAUGGAAGCAGAGGCGUGUGCAGCCAGCUCAGGAGGGAGGAGGUGAGCUUUGCUUUGCCUGAGUGCUGGUGAGAUUUUGCCACCG